This 253-nucleotide ribosomal RNA is filed under the name uncultured bacterium. RNAcentral's name for it is "partial 16S ribosomal RNA". It matches the Rfam family "Bacterial small subunit ribosomal RNA", at positions 524 to 776 of the family's 1533-position model. The record is from RNAcentral.
UACGGGGGGGGCAAGCGUUGUUCGGAAUUACUGGGCGUAAAGGGCUUGUAGGUGGCCAACUAAGUCAGACGUGAAAUCCCUCAGCUUAACUGGGGAACUGCGUCUGAUACUGGAUGGCUUGAGUUUGGGAGAGGGACGCGGAAUUCCAGGUGUAGCGGUGAAAUGCGUAGAUAUCUGGAGGAACACCGGUGGCGAGGGCGGCGUCCUGGACCAACACUGACACUGAAAAGCGAAAGCCAGGGGAGCAAACGGG